RNAcentral lists this long non-coding RNA (4304 nucleotides) under Xyrichtys novacula (pearly razorfish). Lineage: Eukaryota; Metazoa; Chordata; Actinopteri; Labriformes; Labridae. The record is from RNAcentral.
GGUUAGGGUUAGGGUUGGAGUUAGGGUUAGUGUUGGAGCUAGGGUUAGGGUUGGGCUUGGAGCUAGGAUUUUUCUGAGUGCACUGAACCAACUCCCGAGUCUCUAGGACAUUCCUAAAAAAAUUGAUUUUUUUCCCAUAGGAAUGCAUGGGUUAGGGUUAUGGUUAGGGUUAGGGUUGGAGCUAGGGUUAGGGUUAGGGUUAGGGUUGGAGUUAGGGUUAGUGUUGGAGCUAGGGUUAGGGUUGGGCUUGGAGCUAGGACUUUUCUGAGUGCAAUGAACCAACUCCCGAGUCUCUUGGACGUUCCUAAAAAAAUUUGAUUUUUUCCCAUAGGAAUGCAUGGGUUAGGGUUAGGGUUAGGGUUGGAGCUAGGGUUAGGGUUAGGGUUAGGGUUGGAGUUAGGGUUAGUGUUGGAGCUAGGGUUAGGGUUGGGCUUGGAGCUAGGAUUUUUCUGAGUGCAAUGAACCAACUCCAGAGUCUCUAGGACGUUCCUAAAAAAAUUUGAUUUUUUCCCAUAGGAAUGCAUGGGUUAGGGUUAGGGUUAGGGUUAGGGUUGGAGCUAGGGUUAGGGUUAGGGUUAGGGUUGGAGUUAGGGUUAGUGUUGGAGCUAGGGUUAGGGUUGGGCUUGGAGCUAGGAUUUUUCUGAGUGCACUGAACCAACUCCCGAGUCUCUAGGACAUUCCUAAAAAAAAUUGAUUUUUUCCCAUAGGAAUGCAUGGGUUAGGGUUAUGGUUAGGGUUAGGGUUGGAGCUAGGGUUAGGGUUAGGGUUAGGGUUGGAGUUAGGGUUAGUGUUGGAGCUAGGGUUAGGGUUGGGCUUGGAGCUAGGACUUUUCUGAGUGCAAUGAACCAACUCCCGAGUCUCUAGGACGUUCCCUAAAAAAAAUAGAUUUUUUCCCAUAGGAAUGCAUGGGUUAGGGUUAGGGUUAGGGUUGGAGCUAGGGUUAGGGUUAGGGUUAGGGUUGGAGUUAGGGUUAGUUUUGGAGCUAGGGUUAGGGUUGGGCUUGGAGCUAGGAUUUUUCUGAGUGCACUGAACCAACUCCCGAGUCUCUAGGACAUUCCUAAAAAAAUUUGAUUUUUUCCCAUAGGAAUGCAUGGGUUAGGGUUAUGGUUAGGGUUAGGGUUGGAGCUAGGGUUAGGGUUAGGGUUAAGGUUGGAGAUAGGGUUAGUGUUGGAGCUAGUGUUAGGGUUGGGCUUGGAGCUAGGAUUUUUCUGAGUGCACUGAACCAACUCCCGAGUCUCUAGGACAUUCCUAAAAAAAAUUGAUUUUUUUCCCAUAGGAAUGCAUGGGUUAGGGUUAUGGUUAGGGUUAGGGUUGGAGCUAGGGUUAGGGUUAGGGUUAGGGUUGGAGUUAGGGUUAGUGUUGGAGCUAGGGUUAGGGUUGGGCUUGGAGCUAGGACUUUUCUGAGUGCAAUGAACCAACUCCCGAGUCUCUUGGACGUUCCUAAAAAAAUUUGAUUUUUUCCCAUAGGAAUGCAUGGGUUAGGGUUAGGGUUAGGGUUGGAGCUAGGGUUAGGGUUAGGGUUAGGGUUGGAGUUAGGGUUAGUGUUGGAGCUAGGGUUAGGGUUGGGCUUGGAGCUAGGAUUUUUCUGAGUGCAAUGAACCAACUCCAGAGUCUCUAGGACGUUCCUAAAAAAAUUUGAUUUUUUCCCAUAGGAAUGCAUGGGUUAGGGUUAGGGUUAGGGUUGGAGCUAGGGUUAGGGUUAGGGUUAGGGUUGGAGUUAGGGUUAGUGUUGGAGCUAGGGUUAGGGUUGGGCUUGGAGCUAGGAUUUUUCUGAGUGCACUGAACCAACUCCCGAGUCUCUAGGACAUUCCUAAAAAAAUUUGAUUUUUUCCCAUAGGAAUGCAUGGGUUAGGGUUAUGGUUAGGGUUAGGGUUGGAGCUAGGGUUAGGGUUAGGGUUAGGGUUGGAGUUAGGGUUAGUGUUGGAGCUAGGGUUAGGGUUGGGCUUGGAGCUAGGAUUUUUCUGAGUGCACUGAACCAACUCCCGAGUCUCUAGGACAUUCCUAAUAAAAUUUGAUUUUUUCCCAUAGGAAUGCAUGGGUUAGGGUUAUGGUUAGGGUUAGGGUUGGAGCUAGGGUUAGGGUUAGGGUUAGGGUUGGAGUUAGGGUUAGUGUUGGAGCUAGGGUUAGGGUUGGGCUUGGAGCUAGGAUUUUUCUGAGUACAAUGAACCAACUCCCGAGUCUCUUGGACGUUCCUAAAAAAAUUUGAUUUUUUCCCAUAGGAAUGCAUGGGUUAGGGUUAGGGUUAGGGUUAGGGUUGGAGCUAGGGUUAGGGUUAGGGUUAGGGUUGGAGUUAGGGUUAGUGUUGGAGCUAGGGUUAGGGUUGGGCUUGGAGCUAGGAUUUUUCUGAGUGCACUGAACCAACUCCCGAGUCUCUAGGACAUUCCUAAAAAAAUUUGAUUUUUUCCCAUAGGAAUGCAUGGGUUAGGGUUAUGGUUAGGGUUAGGGUUGGAGCUAGGGUUAGGGUUAGGGUUAGGGUUGGAGUUAGGGUUAGUGUUGGAGCUAGGGUUAGGGUUGGGCUUGGAGCUAGGAUUUUUCUGAGUGCACUGAACCAACUCCCGAGUCUCUAUGACAUUCCUAAAAAAAAUUGAUUUUUUUCCCAUAGGAAUGCAUGGGUUAGGGUUAUGGUUAGGGUUAGGGUUGGAGCUAGGGUUAGGGUUAGGGUUAGGGUUGGAGUUAGGGUUAGUGUUGGAGCUAGGGUUAGGGUUGGGCUUGGAGCUAGGAUUUUUCUGAGUGCAAUGAACCAACUCCCGAGUCUCUAGGACGUUCCUAAAAAAAUUUGAUUUUUUCCCAUAGGAAUGCAUGGGUUAGGGUUAGGGUUAGGGUUGGAGCUAGGGUUAGGGUUAGGGUUAGGGUUGGAGUUAGGGUUAGUGUUGGAGCUAGGGUUAGGGUUGGGCUUGGAGCUAGGACUUUUCUGAGUGCAAUGAACCAACUCCCGAGUCUCUUGGACGUUCCUAAAAAAAUUUGAUUUUUUCCCAUAGGAAUGCAUGGGUUAGGGUUAGGGUUAGGGUUGGAGCUAGGGUUAGGGUUAGGGUUAGGGUUGGAGUUAGGGUUAGUGUUGGAGCUAGGGUUAGGGUUGGGCUUGGAGCUAGGAUUUUUCUGAGUGCACUGAACCAACUCCCGAGUCUCUAGGACAUUCCUAAAAAAAUUUGAUUUUUCCCAUAGGAAUGCAUGGGUUAGGGUUAUAAUUAGGGUUAGGGUUGGAGCUAGGGUUAGGGUUAGGGUUAGGGUUGGAGUUAGGGUUAGUGUUGGAGCUAGGGUUAGGGUUGGGCUUGGAGCUAGGACUUUUCUGAGUGCAAUGAACCAACUCCCGAGUCUCUAGGACGUUCCCUAAAAAAAAUUGAUUUUUUCCCAUAGGAAUGCAUGGGUUAGGGUUAGGGUUAGGGUUGGAGCUAGGGUUAGGGUUAGGGUUAGGGUUGGAUUUAGGGUUAGUUUUGGAGCUAGGGUUAGGGUUGGGCUUGGAGCUAGGAUUUUUCUGAGUGCACUGAACCAACUCCCGAGUCUCUAGGACAUUCCUAAAAAAAAUUGAUUUUUUCCCAUAGGAAUGCAUGGUUUAGGGUUAUGGUUAGGGUUAGGGUUGGAGCUAGGGUUAGGGUUAGGGUUAGGGUUGGAGUUAGGGUUAGUGUUGGAGCUAGGGUUAGGGUUGGGCUUGGAGCUAGGAUUUUUCUGAGUGCACUGAACCAACUCCCGAGUCUCUAGGACAUUCCUAAAAAAAAUUGAUUUUUUUCCCAUAGGAAUGCAUGGGUUAGGGUUAUGGUUAGGGUUAGGGUUGGAGCUAGGGUUAGGGUUAGGGUUAGGGUUGGAGUUAGGGUUAGUGUUGGAGCUAGGGUUAGGGUUGGGCUUGGAGCUAGGACUUUUCUGAGUGCAAUGAACCAACUCCCGAGUCUCUUGGACGUUCCUAAAAAAAUUUGAUUUUUUCCCAUAGGAAUGCAUGGGUUAGGGUUAGGGUUAGGGUUGGAGCUAGGGUUAGGGUUAGGGUUAGGGUUGGAGUUAGGGUUAGUGUUGGAGCUAGGGUUAGGGUUGGGCUUGGAGCUAGGAUUUUUCUGAGUGCACUGAACCAACUCCCGAGUCUCUAGGACAUUCCUAAAAAAAAUUGAUUUUUUUCCCAUAGGAAUGCAUGGGUUAGGGUUAUGGUUAGGGUUAGGGUUGGAGCUAGGGUUAGGGUUAGGGUUAGGGUUGGAGUUAGGGUUAGUGUUGGAGCUAGGGUUAGGGUUGGGCUUGGAGCUAGGACUUUUCUGAGUGCAAUGAACCAACUCCCGAGUCUCUUGGACGUUCCUAAAAAAAUUUGAUUUUUUCCCAUAGGAAUG